AAUUGUCUCUACACCUAGCGACCUAAUUUCUCUAUGGUCUAGGAGUCAUUGGUCGAAAGCUCGCUAAGGGGUAGCACUAUUAACCUAAUGGAAUGAGACAUUGCACAGUCUUGGUUAAAAAAAACAAAAAAAAAUGAUAAAAUGAAAAAAGAGCAAAAGGCCCCCGUAACGAUAAAUAAAGCAUAAGUAUCCUAGAUUGGACUCUUGAAUUUGGUGGAUGUUUGAC
Molecule: long non-coding RNA, 226 nt
Filed under: Panax ginseng (ginseng)
Lineage: Eukaryota; Viridiplantae; Streptophyta; Magnoliopsida; Apiales; Araliaceae
Description: long non-coding RNA (PGIN_LNC000661)
Source: RNAcentral